AACGAACGCUGGCGGCAGGUCUUAGGCAUGCAAGUCGAACGGGUGUAGUAAUACACCAGUGGCGAACGAGUGAGUAACGCGUGGGAAUCUGCCCAUCUCUGGGGAAUAACGUUUGGAAACGAACGCUAAUACCGCAUACGCCCGCAAGGGGAAAGAUUUAUCGGGGAUGGAUGAGCCCGCGUUGGAUUAGGUAGUUGGUGGGGUAACGGCCUACAAAGGCGAUGAUCCAUAGCUGGUCUGAGAGGACGAUCAGCCACGCUGGAACUGGGAUACGGUCCAGACUCAUACGGGAGGCAGCAGCUAAGAAUAUUGAGCAAUGGAGGAAACUCUGACCCAGCCAUGCCGCGUGAAUGAAGAAGGCCUUCGGGUUGUAAAGUGCUUUUAGUCGUGACGAUGAUGACGGUAGCGACAGAAAAAGCACCGGCUAACUUCGUGCCAGCCGCCGCAGUAA
This 451-nucleotide ribosomal RNA is filed under the name uncultured bacterium. Its description in RNAcentral is "partial 16S ribosomal RNA". It matches the Rfam family "Bacterial small subunit ribosomal RNA", at positions 29 to 523 of the family's 1533-position model. The record is from RNAcentral.